Molecule: ribosomal RNA, 113 nt
Filed under: uncultured eukaryote
Lineage: Eukaryota
Description: partial small subunit ribosomal RNA
Rfam family: Bacterial small subunit ribosomal RNA
Source: RNAcentral
AAUCUUACCAGAAGUCACUGUCCUAACCGUAAGGAGGGAGGUGCCCAAGGUAAGGUUGAUGAUUGGGGUGAAGUCGUAACAAGGUAGCCGUAGGUGAACCUGCAGAAGGAUCA